This 117-nucleotide ribosomal RNA is filed under the name Candidatus Aenigmatarchaeota archaeon. The record is from RNAcentral. Lineage: Archaea; Nanobdellati; Candidatus Aenigmatarchaeota.
GUUGACGACCACAGCGGAGGGGGUACACCUGUUCCCAUACCGAACACAGAAGUUAAGUCCUCUGUCGGUCUCGAAGAGUACUGCUCAAUAGGCGGAAAAUUCAGGCUGUCGCCAACC